This 1839-nucleotide ribosomal RNA is filed under the name Triticum aestivum (bread wheat). Its description in RNAcentral is "partial small subunit ribosomal RNA". The record is from RNAcentral. Lineage: Eukaryota; Viridiplantae; Streptophyta; Magnoliopsida; Poales; Poaceae.
AUGAGGAUGAAGUCAGGGAUGCACGAUUUUACCUGGGUUGAGGCCCCCAUGUGGAUCUACAUAUUUUGCCACAAGGUCGAUGCAGAGCGCUUCUUUGCAUCGUGGUGUUCUACUGUGGUAUGCAAGAUGAGGAACCUCGACAUAACUCCUAACCACAGAGAAAUAAGGCAUAGCUUCCUUAAUCUUGAUGAACCCGCACUCAUCCACGCAACCUUUCCUAUCUGCUCCAGUUUCCAUAAGCCACACAUGCCGGAAGGGAAGGUACCACAUGUGAGUAAAAGGCCUCGGAGGCACCCAUGCUUCGGAUGUGGCCUUGAGCACAGAUCUAAGGAGGAGGAGUACUUCCACGCUAGGUUCAUGGAUUUGUCUUUGCCCGAUGAUGACGAACAUGAGGAUAAAACAACGAUGAUGAGGGCGAUACUUAAAGAAAUGGAAUGUGAGGAGGAGCAUGUUCUCAACUUUAAGGGUUCAAUAAAUGGACAUCGAGUGUUGAAUGAACAAGGCACGGGAGCAUAUGAAUAUUACAAAAUCACGAACACCGUCGCCGUUAAAUCGAAGCUGCCAGCAGAGCGCGUUCACAAGUGUAAAGUGUUCAUCCAUGUGCCCAACAAGUCACGCAUGAGCAUAAACAAUAUGGGGGUGCUGCCAAGAUCGCCUAUGAGCGCGUGUUUGGUCCUCAUUUGGGACACGCUCCGCAUCAACGUGCAGGACCGUCUAACUGAUGAUACGACCCUUGAAUGGUGGUUGAGAGAGAUAAAACAAUUCCACAAGGAUGACAAGCGAGGGUUUGACACGUUGCUCAUUGCGGGCAUGUGGGCUCUUUGGAAGCAACGUAAUGCUAGGGUCUUUAACCGAGUCGAUCAACAAAAGGAUGCUAGGGAGCUUGCCACUAUGAUCCUUGGUGAGGUAGCCGAGUGGAGGCAAGCAGGUGGUGGUGUUGAUGGCCUACAACGAUUUGUCAUCUCUGCUGCAACUGCUAGUCGUGGCAGUAGCCGCGGCUCAGUUUCUCGGAUCGAAAGCCGGCGGCAUUUCCAUCUACUGGGGUCAGAAUGGUGGAGAGGGCACGCUGGCUGCAACCCGCGCCACUGGCACUACAAAUUUGUCAACAUCGCCUUCCUUUCCUCCUUCGGCAAUGGCCAGCCUCCAGUCCUCAACCUGGCAGGCCACUGCGUCCCAACCAACGGCAGGUGCGCUAGUCUAAGCUCGGACAUCAAGUCAUGCCAGAGCAACGGCGUCAAGGUCAUGCUCUCCAUCGGUGGCGGGGCAGGCGGCUAUUACCUUUCCUUGUCUCAGGAUGCCAAGAAUGUCGCGACGUACCUGUGGAACAACUUCUUAGGAGGUACGUCAUCUUCGCGGCCUCUCGGUGAUGCAGUCCUCGACGGCAUCGACUUCGAUAUUGAGGGUGGUACACCCCUGCACUGGGAUGAUCUUGCAAGGUUCCUAAAAGGGUAUAGCAACUCCGGCAGGAGAGUGUACUUGACUGCUGCGCCACAAUGCCCUUUCCCUGAUGCUUGGGUGGGAGGUGCCCUCAACACCGGCCUCUUUGACUAUGUGUGGGUGCAAUUAUACAACAACGCUCCUUGCCAAUAUACUUCAGGAAGCACUUCCAAUCUAGCUGAUUCAUGGAAGCAGUGGUUGGCAGUUCCUGCAAAGCAGAUCUUCCUCGGUCUCCCGGCGUCACCUCAGGCUGCUGGGAGCGGGUUCAUCCCGGCCGAUGACCUAAAGUCGGAUGUUCUCCCAAUGAUCAAGAGUGCGGGGAAGUAUGGUGGGAUCAUGUUGUGGUCCAAGUAUUAUGAUGACCAGGAUGGCUAUAGCUCUUCGGUGAAGAGUGAUGUUUGA